Bubalus bubalis (water buffalo) is the source of this 1234-nucleotide long non-coding RNA. RefSeq lists it as uncharacterized. The transcript is spliced from 2 exons. The record is from RefSeq and is a predicted model, not a curated record. Lineage: Eukaryota; Metazoa; Chordata; Mammalia; Artiodactyla; Bovidae.
GUAAAAAUACUCUAAUGAUGAGUAUAUGUCACUUGAUACCUGUGUCCAAAUCCAUAGAAUCUGUAACAACAUCAGAAGUGAACUCUGGUGGAAACUAUGGACUUUGGAUGAUCAUGUGUCAAUAUGGGUUCAUCAAUUGUAACAAAUGUAUCACUCUGGUGUGGGAUAUUGAUCAAAGAAAAGGCUAUGCAUGUUGGGCCACUCCAGUGUUCUUCUUGCCUGGAGAAUCCCAGGGACCGGGAAGCCUGGUGGGCUGCCGUCUAUGGGGUUGCACAGAGUCGGACACGACUGAAGUGACUUAGCAGGAGCAGUAGCAUGCAUGUUGGGGGCAGGGAGGAUGGGAAAUCUCUGCUUCUUCAUCUCAAUUUUGCUGUGAACCCAAAACUGGCAUCAAAAAAUAAACUCUUAAAAGAUUUCCUUCUUCAAACGUCCAUGUACCUUAUAGCCUGAUAAGUUUGGCAAAACCAGAGGAUUCGAUUUAGAAAAUAAAAAGCAAUUGCCAUGUGCAGUAGUAAUAUUUGCUGUUUGAUACACAGCUUCAGCACAUACACUUUUAAAAUACAUUUUUAUUGAGGAGUGUUGCUAUUUGAUACUUUAGCAGUAAAAAGUGAUAGACAUGACCUCUGCUCUCAAAGUGGUGACUGUUUAGCAGGGAAGAAAGACAAUUUCAGAAGUCACAUUCAGUUCAGUUCAGUUCAGUCGCUCAGUCAUGUUCAACUCUUUGCGACCCCAUGAAUCGCAUUAAGAGUUGGUAAAUAUUGCAAUAGGGAGAAAGUGUGCCAGUGGGUCACAUCCCGCACAUCCCGGCAAACAGGACAGCGAAUAACCGGGAGGACAUGAUGAGGGCUAAACCGAGAUCUGAAAGGUGUAUUGUUUCCUAUACCUUGAUUUUAUACUUGGAAGGACGAGUGUCUUCUCUCUUGAAAGCCAGCAGUGUUCUAAGGAGCCUGAAUGCCACCAGACUGCCCUACUGUAAGGAAAUCUAAGUCAGCCACCGGGCAAGAGAGAGAGAAGCCAGGCAUGUGAGUGAAACCUUCUUGGACCCUCUGGUUCAGCACAGCCAACGCUAAAUGCAGCCAAGUCUUGACGCCAUCUACUGACGUGGAGCAGAAGAAGCCCCCAGCUAAUCCCUACUCGCAUUCUUCAUUUAUAGAACUGUAAGCCAUAGCCACUGAUUGUUGUUUAACAGUGAUAUGUUAUGUAGAAAUAGAUAACUAAAACAACUCUAUAAACA